This 26-nucleotide non-coding RNA is filed under the name Mus musculus (house mouse). Lineage: Eukaryota; Metazoa; Chordata; Mammalia; Rodentia; Muridae. The record is from RNAcentral.
UGUAUAGCAUUCUCAGCUCUAGGCCA